GUGCUAGCUGUGGUUAAUGUGUUUAAUUGUAUUAUGCUCCUGAAGGAGUGCUAAUGUAAAUGAAGUAACAGCUCACAGUAGGGUAAAAUAUUUAAGGUGUAUUGAACUUAUUUUGUGUUAAUAUUAAAAUCAUUCAGCUUUAAAUUGUUUGUUUGUUAGCCACCUUCUAAUUAUCUUUAGCUAGCCAGCUAGCGCUAGCUUAUUAAUGCCAUGUAAUCCUCCCUAUAGCAUAUUGAUAACCUGUCAUCCUCCUUAGCUAGCGCUAGCAUAUUAAUAUCAUGUCAUUCUCUUUAGCUAGCUAGCUAAAGCUAGCACAUAUAAACACAUAAACCAAAGGUAGUGCUUAGCUACAUGCUAAUCGCUAGCUACAUGCUAAUCGCUAGCUACAUGCUAAUCGCUAGCUGUGCGCUAAUCGCUAGCUAACCGCUAAUCGCUAGCUAAGUGCUAGCUUUGGUUAAUGUGUUUAAUUGUAUUAUGCUCCUGAAGGAGUGCUAAUGUAAAUUAAGGAACAGCUCAUAGUAGGGUAAAAUAUUUAAGGUGUAUUGAACUUAUUUUGUGUUAAUAUUAAAAUCAUUCAGCUUUAAAUUGUUUGCUUGUUAGCCACCUUCUAAUUAUCUUUAGCUAGCCAGCUAGCGCUAGAUUAUUAAUGCCAUGUAAUCCUCCCUAUAGCAUAUUGAUAACCUGUCAUCCUCCUUAGCUAGCGCUAGCAUAUUAAUAUCAUGUCAUUCUCUUUAGCUAGCUAGCUAGAGCUAGCACACAUAAACACAUUAACCAAAGGUAGCACUUAGCUAUGUGCUAAUCGCUAGCUAAGACCUAAUUGCUAGCUACGUGCGAAUCGCUUGCUAACCGCUAAUCGCUAGCUAAGCGCUAAUCGCUAGCUAACUGCUAAUGGCUAGCUGUGCGCUAAUCGCUAGCUGUGCGCUAAUCGCUAGCUUAGCGCUAAUCGCUAGCCGUGCGCUAAUAGCUAGCUAAGUGCUAGCUUUGGUUAAUGUGUUUAAUUGUAUUAUGCUCCUGAAGGAGUGCUAAUGUAAAUUAAGGAACAGCUCAUAGUAGGGUAAAAUAUUUAAGGUGUAUUGUUCUUAUUUUGUGUUAAUAUUAAAAUCAUUCAGCUUUAAA
Long non-coding RNA from Dicentrarchus labrax (European seabass), 1116 nucleotides. RefSeq lists it as uncharacterized. The record is from RefSeq and is a predicted model, not a curated record. NCBI's taxonomy places the organism in Eukaryota, Metazoa, Chordata, Actinopteri, Moronidae. The transcript has 2 exons.